GACGAACCGUGCGAACGUUGUUCGGAUUCACUGGGCUUAAAGGGCGCGUAGGCGGCUUGCCGAGUCAGGGGUGAAAUCUUUCGGCUCAACCGGAAAACUGCCCCUGAGACCGGCCGGCUGGAGGGGGGUAGGGGCGGACGGAACUUCCGGUGGAGCGGUGAAAUGCGUAGAUAUCGGAAGGAACGCCGGUGGCGAAAGCGGUCCGCUGGACCGCUUCUGACGCUGAGGCGCGAAAGCCAGGGGAGCGAACGGG
RNAcentral lists this ribosomal RNA (253 nucleotides) under uncultured bacterium. RNAcentral's name for it is "partial 16S ribosomal RNA". It matches the Rfam family "Bacterial small subunit ribosomal RNA", at positions 524 to 776 of the family's 1533-position model. The record is from RNAcentral.